RNAcentral lists this ribosomal RNA (253 nucleotides) under uncultured bacterium. RNAcentral's name for it is "partial 16S ribosomal RNA". It matches the Rfam family "Bacterial small subunit ribosomal RNA", at positions 524 to 776 of the family's 1533-position model. The record is from RNAcentral.
GACAGAGGGGGCAAGCGUUGUUCGGAUUCAUUGGGCGUAAAGGGUGUGUAGGUGGCGCGCUAAGUCGGGUGUGAAAUUUCGGAGCUUAACUCCGAAACUGCAUUCGAUACUGGCGUGCUUGAGGACUGGAGAGGAGACUGGAAUUCAUGGUGUAGCAGUGAAAUGCGUAGAGAUCAUGAGGAAGACCAGUGGCGAAGGCGGGUCUCUGGACAGUUCCUGACACUGAGACACGAAGGCCAGGGGAGCAAACGGG